GUGAGACCCUAUCUCUACAUAAAAUACAAAAAUUAGCCGGGCGUGGUGGCACAUGCCUGUAGUGCCAGCUACUUGGGAGGCCGAGGCAGGAGGAUUGCUGGAGCCCAGGAGUUCAAGGCUGCAGUGAGCUGUGGUCACACCACUGCACUCCAGCCUGAGCAACAGAGCAAGACCCCUAUCUCAAAUAAAUAAAUAAAUAAAUAAAUAAAUAAAUAAAUAAAUAAAUAAAUAAGUGUAACAGGGAGAGAGUAAAGAGGUUUUGUUUUGUUUUUUGUUUUUUUUUUUUUUAGAUGGAGUCUUGCUCUGUCACCCAGGCUAGAGUGCAAUGGUGCGAUCUUGGAUCACUGCAACCUCUGCCUCCCGGCUUUAAGCAAUUCUCCUGUCUCAGCCUCCCAAGUAGCUGGGACUAUAGGUGCCCACCACCAUGCCCGGCUAAUUUUUGUAUUUUUAGUAGAGAUGGGGUUUCACCAUGUUGGCCAGGCUGGUCUGGAACUCCUGACUUCAAGUGAUCUGCCUGCCUUGGCCUCCCAAAGUGCUGGAAUUACAGGCAUGGGCCACCGGGCCCGGCCAACAGUAAGGAGUUUUAAGCAGGGGAGUCACACGAUGAGAGGACUCAUUGAUAAAGAUGAGUCUGGCUGCUGUAAGGACACAAUACUAGAGAGGGACAGAGGGAUGUGGAGGCCCAGCAUGAAGCCUCCUUUUGUCUCCAUAACCCUUCAGCACAGGGUUCUGGAAUGUAUUUAUGUGGCAAAUGUUUGCUCGUUCUUUUUUUCUUUUUUUUGAGAUGGAGUCUCGCUCUGUCAGGUUGGAGUGCAGGUCGGCUCACUGCAACCUCCACCUCCUGGGUUCAAGCAAUUCUCCUGCCUCAGCCUCCCGAGUAGCUGGGACUAUAGGUGCGCACCACCACAUCCAGCUAAUUUUUGUAUUUUUAGUAGAGAUAUGGUUUCACCAUGUUGACCAGACUGGUGUCAAACUGCUGACCUCAAGUGAGCUGGCCACCUCAGCCUCCCACAGUGCUGGGAUUACAGGCAUAAGUCACUGCAUCCAGCCAAAUGUUUGCUGAAUUCUUACAGCCCCAGCAAUGUCCAAGGCUCUGGAGACACCGUGGUGGACAGGACACCAUCCCUGUCCUUAAGAAAGUUCCAGCUGCCACCUGGAGGAAGAAGUGACUGAGACCAGAACUGUGCCCACCAGCUGCCACACUUACCUGGCAAGGGCUCAGAGUCAAGAUACCCAACCCAGCUCAGCACUUCUCCCUGGACCUCUUCCAACUGCAUGAAGCCCUGGGUCCCUGGGUUGUUCACAGUUCGUUGUCUCCCGGUGUAGAAAAGUCUGUCAACCCUGCUUGGACAUCGCAAUCACCUGGAUUCCUCCUUCACAAAGUGGCUCAAGAAAGAGUGUGGUGACUCUGUGGACGGGUCAUCAUGCUGGUGGCCUGCCCCGACGCACGACAGGGUGGUCAGCGUAUGAUCUCCACACGCAUCGACUGGCCGUGCAUAUCCAAGGCUCAUGUUCUGUUGUAAGGCCAGGCAAGGGCAGGCCAGGCUGUCUGGUGGACAGUUCAAGUGCCCCAAAGGCCGUCAUUCCAACCAGUGGCUUUUUUUUUUUUUUGAGACGGAGUCUUGCUCUGUUGCCCGGGCUGGAGUGCAGUGGCAUAAUCUCAGCUCACUGCAGCCUCCGCUUCCCAGGUUCAAGUGAUUCUCCUGCCUCAGCCUCCCAAGUAGCUGGGACUACAGGCGCCCACUACCGCACCUGGCUAAUUUUUGUAUUUUUAGUAGAGACGGGGUUUCACCAUGUUGGCCAGGCUGGUCUCGAACUCCUGACCUCGUGAUCAGCCCACCUCGGCCUCCCAAAGUGCUGGGAUUACAGGGGUGAGUCAUCACUCCCGGCCCAACUGGUGCCUUUUUUAUCCAGAGGCAUCCGUGGCUGCUAGAAAAAUGACACGGGGGAGGCGGGGGGCCCAGAGCCUGCCGGAAUGGCCAUAGCAGUGUCUGCCAGAUGCCCCGGGUAUAGCAGGACCAACAUGCCCCUCUGCCUCCCAGCAGAGCUUGGAUAUUCUCCUGUUAACAUUUAUGGAGACUUAUCAUGAGCCAGGCAUUGGGCUUAGUGCUUCUCAUGCAUUAAUUGCCUAAAUUAUCCUCACAGCCCACCUAUGAAAUAGAUAUUUCUUUUUUUUUUUUCUGAGACAGAGUCUCAUUUUGUCAUCCAGGCUGGAGUGCAGUGAUGCAAUCUUGGCUCACUACAACCUCCAUCUCCCAGGUUCAAGCAAUUCUCCUGCCUCAGUCUCCCGAGUAGCUGGGAUUACAGGCACCCACCACCACACCUGGCUAUUUUUUUCGUAUUUUUGGUGGAGACGGGGUUUCACCAUGUUGACCAGGCUGGUCUCGAACUCCUGACCUCAAGUGAUCCACCCACAUCAGCCUCCCAAAGUGCUGGGAUUACAGGUGUGAGCCACUGCACUGGGUUCCCCCUGAGGGUUUUAAUUCCCUGGCAUUUCUGGUCUGUCAUAGCAGAGUAGCCUUUGGUAUAAGGCACCCCAGUCCAGAGAUGGAGAUACUAUUGGCGAUGGGAAAACAUCAGGAGCACACCAACUGGGGCAGCCCAAUAAAAAGAGGCAUGGAUAUCACAUCAUCAGCUUCCCUGACUUUUUAUCAUAAAAGUGGUUAAUGCACAUAGUAAAAAGCUCAAACACCAUGAAAACGCACUAAUAAAAGUAUAUCUCGGCUGGGCAUGGUGGCUUACACCUGUAAUCCCCACACUUUUUGGGAGGCCGAGGUGGGUGGAUCUCCUGAAGUUGGGAGUUCGAGACCAGCCUGACCAACAUGGAGAAACUCUGUCUCUACUAAAAAAAUAAAUAAAUAAAUAAAUACAAAAUUACCUGGACGUGGUGGCACAUGCCUGUAAUCCCAGCUACUCGGAAGGCUGAGGCAGGAGAAUCGCUUGAACCCGGGAGGCAGAGGUUGUGGGGAGCUGAAAUCUCACCAUUGCACUCCAGCCUGGGCAAUAAGAGCGAAACUCGUCUCAAAAAAAAAAAAAAAGAAAAAAAAAAUUCUCUCUCCCAGAUCCUAGUCCUGAAUUGCCAUCCUGUCAGAGGUGUGUGAACCAGAGUGACUCCAUCUUGAAUAGGAGCUGGGUAAAAUGAGGCUGAGACCUACUGGGCUGCAUUCCCAGGAUGUGAGGCAUUCUAAGUCACAGGAUAAGACAGGAUGUCGGCACAAGAUACAGGUCAUAAAGACCUCACUGAUAAAACAGGUUGCAGUAAAGAAGUUGGUCAAGGCUGGGCAUGGUAGCUCACGCCUGUAAUCCCAGCACUUUGGGAGGCCGAGGUGGGAGGAUCACCUGAGGUCAGGAGUUCAAGACUAGCCUGACCAACAUGGUGAAACCCCGUCUCUACUAAAAAUACAAAAAAAAAAAAUUAGCCGGGUGUGGUGGUGUACGCCUGUAGUCCCAGUUACUUAGAAGGCUGAGGCACGAGAAUCGCUUGAACCCGGGAGGCAGAAGUUGCAGUGAGCCGAGAUCAUGCCACUGCACUCCAGCCUGGGCGACAGUCAGAUUCCAUCUCAAAAAACACAAAAAAAGAGAUUGCAGUAAAGAAGGCAGCCAAAACCCACUGAAACCAAGAUGGCGAUGAAAGUCACCUCUGAUCCUCCUCAUUGCUCAUUAUACCCUAAUUAUAAUAUAUUAGCAUGCUAAAAGACACUGCCACCACUGCCAUAACAGUUUAUAGAUGCCACGGCAACGUCAGGAAGUUACGCUAUAUGGUCUUAAAAAGGGGGAGGAAUCCUCAGUUCCAGGAAUUGCCUACCUCUUUCCCUGAAAACUCAUGAAUAACCCACCCCUUCUUUAGCAUAGAAUCAAAAAAUAACUGUACGUAUGCUUAUUCGAGCACCCCAUGACACUGCUCUGCCUAUGGAGUAGCCAUUCUGUAUAACUUUACUUUCUUAAUAAACUUGCUUUCACUUUACUCUAUGGACUUGUCCUGAAUUAUUUCUUGCACUAGGUCCAAGAACCGUCUCCUGAGGUCUGGAGCGGGACCCCGUUUCUUGAUAGUUUGUAUGUCCAGCAAAUUACUAAUCAUAUGUAUAUCUUUUUUGUUGCACAAAUAGUAUCAUCCAGUAUAUACUCUUGUGCACUUUGAUUUUUUUCAUUUAAAAAUAGAUCUUUGG
This 4166-nucleotide long non-coding RNA is filed under the name Homo sapiens (human). Its description in RNAcentral is "HSALNT0124493". The stretch from base 3277 to 3393 matches the Rfam family "Metazoan signal recognition particle RNA". Lineage: Eukaryota; Metazoa; Chordata; Mammalia; Primates; Hominidae. The record is from RNAcentral.